Xyrauchen texanus (razorback sucker) is the source of this 4129-nucleotide long non-coding RNA. RefSeq lists it as uncharacterized. Lineage: Eukaryota; Metazoa; Chordata; Actinopteri; Cypriniformes; Catostomidae. The transcript is spliced from 7 exons. The record is from RefSeq and is a predicted model, not a curated record.
CACUAUCCCACGCUGCACUGCGGAAAUCAAAGCGCUCAAGCCAGUCCUCCAGAAGCCCAGAUGUCUUUGCGGGAGCAGCCUGAAGUCUUGUCUUUGCCGUUGGCCGCCCCCUACUGGACCUGCAAGAGCUGUUCAGGUUGUAGUCCAAAAACACAGAAGAGAAUUAGCAUUUUCGAGCCAUGGGUUCCCUCUGGAUUUAUCUAUGGGUUUUUAUAAUGGCAGUUUUGGAUUUAUGAGUAAAACAGACCCUGAUCAGCAAAACUCCAGCAGGUCUAGUGCCACAACCUGCAACACCAUCUACAGAGCCCUUGGAUCCACAGACUUGCUGAUCACAGUGACAACACAAAAGACCAAUGUGAACCCACCUUCUGCAUUUUUGUGCUCUAACUCUUUAAUACAAUCUCCUUUUGCAUAAACUGUAAUAAACAUUAUUUACACUGUAUAAAGAAAUUUCAGAACAAUUUUUCCAAAAUAUUAUUACUUAAUGGUUUCAAAUGUUACCAUGUUCUUUUAAUGUUUUUAUACUUUCACUGUUCAUUCAUUUUCACUUUCUAUUUAUUACCUUCUUAUAUUUUACUGUAAAUUACUAUACAUUUCAAUGAGUACUGGCUUUGUGUUACUUUGUAUGUCAAUCAGACAUGGACCUCCUCAGGUAAGGGAGAAUCACAUUACAUAAAAAAUAUACCAUGCUUUGGAAAAGUACUGUGAUAAUAUGAACUUAAUAAACUAUUUCCACCUUAUUUUGUAGAAAUGUCUUCAGGUUAUCUGGUGGCCUUCAAGGUUGGACUGUGACAUAUCCUCCACAGUGGACACAGCAGGACUCUUUUAUGGUUAAUUGGGGAGUUUUCGUGUGUUCUGCAGCUGAAAAUGAAGUGUUAUAUCAGGGAGUGGUGGUGGUGUAGUGGGCUAAAGCACAUAACUGUAAAUCAGAAGGUCGCUGAUUCGAUCCCCACGGCCACCACCAUUGUGUCCUUGAGCAAGACACUUAACUCCAGGUUGCUCCGGGAGGAUUGUCCCUGUAAUAUGUGCUCUGUAAGUCGCUUUGGAUAAAAGCGUCUGCCAAAAUGCAUACAUGUAAAUCAUGAGGUCAACAGGAAUGACAAGGGUGCAAUGCACAACUUGCAAAGACUGGCUGCAUUUUCAGUGUGCGGGUGUGGAGGGGCACUUGACUUCAAAGGAUUUCUUUUGUGGAUGCAAACUUAUCCUAGAUUUAGAUGACAUCCUGGAAUCUGUUAAAGUAGAAGACAUUCUGACAGAUGAAGAGAUAAAGGAUUUGGAAAGAAACCUUCAGAGUGGGCAUUUUCUCUCAAACAGAAUGUAUCUGUGGGAACACAGAGGGUUUGAUCCAGCCCUUCGAAAACAUUACAGUGAACAUUUAACAUUAUUUUAUGAAAUAAAGUUAUGUGUAAUAUUCUUUAUGUGUAUAUAUAUAUAUAUAUAUAAUGUACACAACUCUUGGUCUUUAAAAGAUUUAAAACAGUGGUAUGUGACAAAUGUCUUGAAAUCUGGAUUUCUAAAAAAUUAUAUACCAAAUUAUAUUCAUAUUUUUGCCAUAUUAAGUAAUUGUCUUUAUAUUCCCAAAUGUAACUUUUAAAAGUUUUUGGUAGGAAGCAUUUUUGGGCAAGGUGAUGCUAGUGGACAGGAAACAGUUGUCAUUUUGCCUGAGGUAAUCUAAUGGAAAGAUGUACCAAAUAAAAAAUUAGUACAAGAAUUUCAUUUACAGCAAAGAAAUUGAUAAGCGAGUAAUGGCAUUGAGAUGGAUUCAAACUGCAGUACUUCAGUAAAACUAUCAAUUUAAGUGAAAACAUAAGACAGAAAACUUUAAUGUGGUUAAAAUUGUACAUUUCUCACAUUAAUACUGUAUUUAUUUAGUAGGUUUUGAUUCAGUAGUUCUGAAGAGCAAAUAUUACAAGGAAAAGAAAAGGUACAGGCCAUUGUACCUAUUGUAUGUAUUACAUCAUUAAAUCCAUUCUACCAGUCAGGACAUAAAUAAUUUUUCAGGUCAGGUUGACAUUAUUGUAAUGACAUAAUGUGGCCCUGGUACACUUUUUUUCCCCCCAGUGCUGCAGAGAUCAGAACAGCUGACUCAGAAAGCACAGAAGAGGUAAGACAUUCAACAGUACCAAAUUCCCCAUGACCCAGUAAGGAUAAGCGGUACAGAAAUUGGAUGGAUGGAUAUUAAAGCAGUAAAUAUAUUGAAGCCAGACACACAUGCUGGUACAUACAGUAGUUUGAGCCCACUUGACUUGCUCAAGAGCAACAUCUGUUGGCAGCUCAUUCAGAAACAUCAGAAAGCUUUGAUCAGUACUUUAGGCAGAUUAUUUGACAUGUAUUGUGUGUAUGCGAUAAAAUGAAAUGGAGAUUAAUAUAAACCUGGUAGAUUAAUGAAAUAUACUUUUUGUAAUACAAAAAUAAAAAGUGGAUGGAUAACUGUGGGGUCCCUGAUAAAUUAUAUAUAACUGUUCACAUGCAGCAGGAAGUGCAAAAUCAGUAAACAACCAUAUAAAUCUCAUUUAGCCUUCCACAUAUAAUAUCAUAAAGUUAUUCAUCUUUUUCUUGAUCAUAAGACUAUACAGCAUCACUGAAACAUAAAGCAGCUUUUAUACACUCGUAGGACACAUUUUUAUAAAAAUGAUAGGCUAUGUAUUGAUCAUGCUCAGGCAAGGGAAUUGUUACAACCAUUUGUUUUAUUUUAAGUGAUCUUUUACGAAAAGACUGUGAAACAUUCUGUACAGAAGUUGUAGAUAAAAUGAGUUACAGAGGAAUGUUCAUCAGAUUUGAGGAAGACUAAUUCAUCCACAUGGACCAUUCAAAUUCAAGGAACUUAAAUCAAAUUAAUAUAAAUUAAAAUUACCCAAUACAAUUUUUGAUAGUUGUUACAAAUUGCUACCUAUGUUUUUGGGUUAAAUAUUACAUGUCAUUUUUUUUUUCAGUGUGGGUUUAAUAAAAGAUACAUUUUGAGUAAACAACAACUGAAUAGCCUCUUCAUUGCUAUGACCUUUUCCCCAUGUAUGCUACUGCAGCAUCGGAAACUCAUGGCUGUAUUAACUGAAUAACAGGGUUUUUAAAAAUAUAUUCACUGAGAGUAAAUUAUUAUAAAUCAUUGUGAGAUAGCCCAUAUAAUAUUAUUAAUUAUUUGUUUAUUUUGCAAAAGACAAUGUCGUUUUUAAAAGUAGAAACCUCGAAUCAUGUUGCAAACAGUGGCAUCAUCCAUAAACUGAGGCAUAUAACGCAUAUGUUAUGCAGCAUAAAAUUCAAAUCUGAGCCACAUACAGAAGGCUUUAACAUUCUUUAGGCUGCUCUUCUAUCUUCUAUCUAAUUCUAUCAGUAUCUUUUAAUACACUUUGGGCCACUCUAUCGAAUCUUUAUCUAUCUAUCUAACUAUCUAUCCAUCCAUCCAUCCAUCAUCCAUCCAUUGAGUUUAGAGGGAUAUCUCCGGAUCAGAACAUUGUAGACACUUCCAGGUUGGCACAUUUGACUCAAGCUAGCACAGAGCCUUUUGAGUAUCACCCUGGUAACUGCCUAGCAACCAGAUGGGGUUGCCUUGGCAGCCAAAUAACAAAGCAUAUAUCUCUGCACUAGAACAUUGUAGAGACUUCCAAUUUCUUUCAUUUGACUCAGGGUAGCAAGUAGCCUUUUGAGUAUCACUUUGGUAACUGCCUAGCAACCAGAAGAGUUGCCCUAGCAGCCAAAAACAAAACAUAUAUCUCUGCACUAGAACAUUGUUGAGACUUCCUUUUUCAUUCAUUUGACUCAGAGUAGCAAGGAGCCUUUUGAGUAUCACCUUGCUAACUGCAUAGCAACCAGAUGGGGUUGCCCUAGCAGCCAAAUAAAAAUCAGAUAUCUCUGCACUAGAACAUCGUAGAGACUUCCAGUUUUGUUCAUUUGACUCAGGGUAGCAAGGAUCCUUUUGAGUAUCACUUUGGUAACUGUCUAGCAACCAGAUGGGGUUACCCUAGCAACCAAGUAACAAAUCACAAAUCUCUGCACCAGGAACAUCGUAGAGAUUUCCGGUUUCUUUCAUUUAACUCAGGGUAGCAAGGAGCCUUUUGACUAUCACUUUGGCAACUGCCUAGUAACUAGAUGGGGCUGCCCUAGCAACCAAGUAACAAAAUAUAUCUAUGCACAA